UUUUUCUUUUCUUUUUUUUUUUUGAGAUGGAGUUUUACUCUUGUCUUCUAGGCUGGAGUGCAGUGGCGCGAUCUCGGCUUACUGCAACCUCUGCCUCCCAGGUUCAAGUGAUUCUCCUGCCUCACCCUCCCAAGCAGCUGAGACUACAGACAGGUACUGCCAUGCUUGGCUAAUUUUUUGUAUUUUUAGUAGAGAUGGAGUUUCACCAUGUCGGCCAGGCUGGUCUUGAACUCCUGACCUCAGGUGAUCCGCCCACCUUAGCCUCCCAAAAUGCUGGGAUUACAGGCGUGAGCCACCGCGCCUGGCCACCUUUGAUUUUUUUCAUGCUGUGGGAUGUCCCUUUUCAUGGAUGUAAUAUCAUCUUUGCAGGGAUAUAAUAUAAUUUAAUUUUCUAGUGCCUUAUUGAUGGACGUUUGCUUUUUUAUUUUUUUUCAUUUUUCUGCUGUUACAGACCACACAGCAAUGCGUGUGCCUCCUCCCGCCCUGGGGACUCUUUCUGUGGGAGAGGUGCCUAGAUUUAGAGGAACGACCACUCUCCAUUUGUAAUGACUCUCCCUAACCUGGAAGCCCUUCAGCUCCCACUCCAGAGUGGUUGGUGGUGGUAACACGCCAGGCCUGGGGAAGCAGGAGUGGGAAGGUGUGAGAGGUGGGGGAGUGUGGUUGUCAACUGUUCCGAUUUUCCACCGGGAUCUUGGUCACUUUCCCAGUUGUCACUCGGCCCACAAACUAGGAUGUGAGCAGCAUAUUGAGAAUCUGCAGAGAUGUUCACGUCUGCCCAGCAUAUGGACGUCCUUCUGGGCUGUGAAGUGGCAUCCUGUGGGCAACUCCCACCCGCCGACAACCAGUUGCGAGCUGUGCCCAGGCACAGAGGGACCUGACUUUCCCUGUUUCUGCAGAUUUUUCAGGGUUUCAGGGUUUCAGGGAGGGAGGGGGCAGGUUGGGACCUGUUGGGGAUCUGGGCACUUUCUCAUGUUCCUUGAGCUUCAAGUCAUAGAAGGAGCGGGGUGGGAGCUGAGAAUGUACCUUCCCAAGGCCACCGGCAGAACCAGCAGGCCCUUUGCUCGGGGAUGAGCUCCCUCUGAGGGGUGGGGACAGUAAAGCGGACAGAAGUCCCUGUUCUGCAGGAUGGAAACUGGCUCCCCUCCAUUGUACAGGCCGGCUCUGGGGAUUUGGGCAGCAGAUUUGGGGUUGACAGCAGAAUGACAUGAUCACCGCUUGACCUUGGCCAGGAUGCCAGCUCACUUUCUCGCUUACUUCUGCAAGUUCUUUGUUCUGAGGGUGAGUCACCCAGGUCCUGCCCUCCGUGCCUGUCUGCCCUCUCCCACUCUCCCUGCCCUGAGCUUGUUCCCACUUGUAGAUUUGGCAGGUCACUGCCAAGGCCCCUCUGCCCCCAACAUGGCCAGUGCCCUAAGGGUGGGUUGUACAGAGAGGAGCUGGUGUGGUCAGUAGAUUUGAAUCAGGGACAGCUCGGCUGCUGAAGGCUGAGGGGACCUUGCAGGGCCUUGUGCACACAGGGAGGGGGUAGAGAAGGCAACCAGGGGCUCCUUCAGGCCUUAAUGGUCUGCGGCCCAGUGAUGCUGUGCCC
Molecule: long non-coding RNA, 1585 nt
Filed under: Macaca fascicularis (crab-eating macaque)
Lineage: Eukaryota; Metazoa; Chordata; Mammalia; Primates; Cercopithecidae
Description: lncRNA (ENSMFAG00000053848.1)
Source: RNAcentral